GGUCGCUUGGUGCAGCGGUCAGAAACCUGGCAUUACUCUCUGCGGGUGUGGAGGGCUCGUUGGUUCGAAUCCAACAGCGAUCA
This is a non-coding RNA of Parastagonospora nodorum SN15, 83 nucleotides long. The record is from the annotation of a RefSeq genome assembly. Lineage: Eukaryota; Fungi; Ascomycota; Dothideomycetes; Pleosporales; Phaeosphaeriaceae.